This 477-nucleotide ribosomal RNA is filed under the name uncultured Methanosaeta sp. RNAcentral's name for it is "bacterial SSU rRNA". It matches the Rfam family "Archaeal small subunit ribosomal RNA", at positions 861 to 1338 of the family's 1478-position model. The record is from RNAcentral. Lineage: Archaea; Methanobacteriati; Methanobacteriota; Methanomicrobia; Methanotrichales; Methanotrichaceae.
GGAAUUGACGGGGAGCACCACAACGGGUGGAGCUUGCGGUUUAAUUGGAUUCAACGCCGGAAAUCUUACCGGGACCGACAGCAAUAUGAAGGCCAGGCUGAAGACUUUGCCGGAUUAGCUGAGAGGUGGUGCAUGGCCGUCGUCAGUUCGUACUGUGAAGCAUCCUGUUAAGUCAGGCAACGAGCGAGACCCACGCCCACAGUUGCCAGCGUACUCUCUGGAGUGACGGGUACACUGUGGGGACCGCCGCUGCUAAAGCGGAGGAAGGAAUGGGCAACGGUAGGUCAGUAUGCCCCGAAUAUCCCGGGCUACACGCGAGCUACAAUGGUUGGUACAAUGGGUAUCUACCCCGAAAGGGGACGGGAAUCUCCUAAAACCAAUCUUAGUUCGGAUUGAGGGCUGCAACUCGCCCACAUGAAGCUGGAAUCCGUAGUAAUCGCGUUUCAAAAUAGCGCGGUGAAUAUGUCCCUGCUCCUU